This 2903-nucleotide ribosomal RNA is filed under the name Klebsiella quasipneumoniae. RNAcentral describes it as "23S ribosomal RNA". It matches the Rfam family "Bacterial large subunit ribosomal RNA". Lineage: Bacteria; Pseudomonadati; Pseudomonadota; Gammaproteobacteria; Enterobacterales; Enterobacteriaceae. The record is from RNAcentral.
GGUUAAGCGACUAAGCGUACACGGUGGAUGCCCUGGCAGUCAGAGGCGAUGAAGGACGUGCUAAUCUGCGAAAAGCGUCGGUAAGGUGAUAUGAACCGUUAUAGCCGGCGAUGUCCGAAUGGGGAAACCCAGUGUGAUUCGUCACACUAUCGUUAACUGAAUACAUAGGUUAACGAGGCGAACCGGGGGAACUGAAACAUCUAAGUACCCCGAGGAAAAGAAAUCAACCGAGAUUCCCCCAGUAGCGGCGAGCGAACGGGGAGCAGCCCAGAGUCUGAAUCAGCUUGUGUGUUAGUGGAACGGUCUGGAAAGUCCGACGGUACAGGGUGAUAGUCCCGUACACCAAAAUGCACAGGCUGUGAACUCGAAGAGUAGGGCGGGACACGUGGUAUCCUGUCUGAAUAUGGGGGGACCAUCCUCCAAGGCUAAAUACUCCUGACUGACCGAUAGUGAACCAGUACCGUGAGGGAAAGGCGAAAAGAACCCCGGCGAGGGGAGUGAAAAAGAACCUGAAACCGUGUACGUACAAGCAGUAGGAGCACCUUUAUGGUGUGACUGCGUACCUUUUGUAUAAUGGGUCAGCGACUUAUAUUCUGUAGCAAGGUUAACCGUAUAGGGGAGCCGCAGGGAAACCGAGUCUUAACUGGGCGUUAAGUUGCAGGGUAUAGACCCGAAACCCGGUGAUCUAGCCAUGGGCAGGUUGAAGGUUGGGUAACACUAACUGGAGGACCGAACCGACUAAUGUUGAAAAAUUAGCGGAUGACUUGUGGCUGGGGGUGAAAGGCCAAUCAAACCGGGAGAUAGCUGGUUCUCCCCGAAAGCUAUUUAGGUAGCGCCUCGUGAACUCAUCUUCGGGGGUAGAGCACUGUUUCGGCUAGGGGGUCAUCCCGACUUACCAACCCGAUGCAAACUACGAAUACCGAAGAAUGUUAUCACGGGAGACACACGGCGGGUGCUAACGUCCGUCGUGAAGAGGGAAACAACCCAGACCGCCAGCUAAGGUCCCAAAGUCAUGGUUAAGUGGGAAACGAUGUGGGAAGGCACAGACAGCCAGGAUGUUGGCUUAGAAGCAGCCAUCAUUUAAAGAAAGCGUAAUAGCUCACUGGUCGAGUCGGCCUGCGCGGAAGAUGUAACGGGGCUAAACCAUGCACCGAAGCUGCGGCAGCGACACUAUGUGUUGUUGGGUAGGGGAGCGUUCUGUAAGCCUGCGAAGGUGGCCUGUGAGGGUUGCUGGAGGUAUCAGAAGUGCGAAUGCUGACAUAAGUAACGAUAAAGCGGGUGAAAAGCCCGCUCGCCGGAAGACCAAGGGUUCCUGUCCAACGUUAAUCGGGGCAGGGUGAGUCGACCCCUAAGGCGAGGCCGAAAGGCGUAGUCGAUGGGAAACAGGUUAAUAUUCCUGUACUUGGUGUUACUGCGAAGGGGGGACGGAGAAGGCUAUGUUAGCCGGGCGACGGUUGUCCCGGUUUAAGCAUGUAGGCUGGUUAUCCAGGCAAAUCCGGAUAAUCAAGGCUGAGGUGUGAUGACGAGGCACUACGGUGCUGAAGUAACAAAUGCCCUGCUUCCAGGAAAAGCCUCUAAGCAUCAGGUAACACGAAAUCGUACCCCAAACCGACACAGGUGGUCAGGUAGAGAAUACCAAGGCGCUUGAGAGAACUCGGGUGAAGGAACUAGGCAAAAUGGUGCCGUAACUUCGGGAGAAGGCACGCUGGUGUGUAGGUGAAGUCCCUGCGGAUGGAGCUGAGACCAGUCGAAGAUACCAGCUGGCUGCAACUGUUUAUUAAAAACACAGCACUGUGCAAACACGAAAGUGGACGUAUACGGUGUGACGCCUGCCCGGUGCCGGAAGGUUAAUUGAUGGGGUUAUCCGUAAGGAGAAGCUCUUGAUCGAAGCCCCGGUAAACGGCGGCCGUAACUAUAACGGUCCUAAGGUAGCGAAAUUCCUUGUCGGGUAAGUUCCGACCUGCACGAAUGGCGUAAUGAUGGCCAGGCUGUCUCCACCCGAGACUCAGUGAAAUUGAACUCGCUGUGAAGAUGCAGUGUACCCGCGGCAAGACGGAAAGACCCCGUGAACCUUUACUAUAGCUUGACACUGAACAUUGAGCCUUGAUGUGUAGGAUAGGUGGGAGGCUUUGAAGCGUGGACGCCAGUCUGCGUGGAGCCAACCUUGAAAUACCACCCUUUAAUGUUUGAUGUUCUAACGUUGGCCCCUUACCGGGGUUGCGGACAGUGUCUGGUGGGUAGUUUGACUGGGGCGGUCUCCUCCCAAAGCGUAACGGAGGAGCACGAAGGUUAGCUAAUCCUGGUCGGACAUCAGGAGGUUAGUGCAAUGGCAUAAGCUAGCUUGACUGCGAGCGUGACGGCGCGAGCAGGUGCGAAAGCAGGUCAUAGUGAUCCGGUGGUUCUGAAUGGAAGGGCCAUCGCUCAACGGAUAAAAGGUACUCCGGGGAUAACAGGCUGAUACCGCCCAAGAGUUCAUAUCGACGGCGGUGUUUGGCACCUCGAUGUCGGCUCAUCACAUCCUGGGGCUGAAGUAGGUCCCAAGGGUAUGGCUGUUCGCCAUUUAAAGUGGUACGCGAGCUGGGUUUAGAACGUCGUGAGACAGUUCGGUCCCUAUCUGCCGUGGGCGCUGGAGAAUUGAGGGGGGCUGCUCCUAGUACGAGAGGACCGGAGUGGACGCAUCACUGGUGUUCGGGUUGUCAUGCCAAUGGCACUGCCCGGUAGCUAAAUGCGGAAGAGAUAAGUGCUGAAAGCAUCUAAGCACGAAACUUGCCCCGAGAUGAGUUCUCCCUGAGACUUUAAGUCUCCUGAAGGAACGUUGAAGACGACGACGUUGAUAGGCCGGGUGUGUAAGCGCAGCGAUGCGUUGAGCUAACCGGUACUAAUGAACCGUGAGGCUUAACCUU